This 468-nucleotide ribosomal RNA is filed under the name uncultured bacterium. Its description in RNAcentral is "partial 16S ribosomal RNA". It matches the Rfam family "Bacterial small subunit ribosomal RNA", at positions 28 to 507 of the family's 1533-position model. The record is from RNAcentral.
GACGAACGCUGGCGGCGGGCUUAACACAUGCAAGUCGAACGGAAAGGCCCUGCUUUUGUGGGGUGCUCGAGUGGCGAAGGGGGGAGUAACACGUGAGUAACCUGCCCUUGACUUUGGGAUAACUUCAGGAAACUGGGGCUAAUACCGGAUAGGAGCUCCCGCCGCAUGGUGGGCGUUGGAAAGUUUCGGCGGUUGGGGAUGGACUCGCCGCUUAUCAGCUUGUUGGUGGGGUAGUGGCUUACCAAGGCUUUGACGGGUAGCCGGCCUGAGAGGGUGACCGGCCACAGUGGGACUGAGAUACGGACCAGACUCGAACGGGAGGCAGCGGUGGGGAAUAUUACACAAUGGGAGGGAGCCUGAUGCGACAACGCCGCGUGCGGGAUGACGGCCUUCGGGUAGUAAACCGCUUUCGCCUGUGACGAAGCGUGAGUGACGGUACCGGGUGAAGAAGCACCGGCUAACUACGUG